RNAcentral lists this ribosomal RNA (472 nucleotides) under uncultured Pelotomaculum sp. RNAcentral's name for it is "bacterial SSU rRNA". It matches the Rfam family "Bacterial small subunit ribosomal RNA", at positions 918 to 1380 of the family's 1533-position model. Lineage: Bacteria; Bacillati; Bacillota; Clostridia; Eubacteriales; Desulfotomaculaceae. The record is from RNAcentral.
UGACGGGCCGCACAAGCGGUGGAGCAUUGUGGUUUAAUUCGACGCAACGCGAAGAACCUUACCAGGGCUUGACAUCCCCUGACCGCGUAUGAAAGUACGUUUUCACCCUCGGGUGACAGGGAGACAGGUGGUGCAUGGUUGUCGUCAGCUCGUGUCGUGAGAUGUUGGGUUAAGUCCCGCAACGAGCGCAACCCCUACGUUUAGUUGCUAACAGGUGAAGCUGAGCACUCUAGACGAACUGCCGUUGACAAAACGGAGGAAGGUGGGGAUGACGUCAAAUCAUCAUGCCCCUUACGUUCUGGGCUACACACGUGCUACAAUGGCCGGUACAGACGGAGGCGAAGCCGCGAGGCGGAGCAAAUCCGAAAAAGCCGGUCUCAGUUCGGAUUGCAGGCUGCAAUUCGCCUGCAUGAAGUCGGAAUCGCUAGUAAUCGCAGGUCAGCAUACUGCGGUGAAUACGUUCCCGGGCCUU